This 253-nucleotide long non-coding RNA is filed under the name Bos taurus (domestic cattle). RNAcentral describes it as "long non-coding RNA NONBTAT016386". Lineage: Eukaryota; Metazoa; Chordata; Mammalia; Artiodactyla; Bovidae. The record is from RNAcentral.
CUCUUUACAAACCUCUCACACUAGUAGAAUGACAGUGAAGACCUUCUUUCUAAGAAAAAAAUAAAAAGCCAACAUCUCUGUGAGGACGCAUUCCCAGGGGUGUUGGCAAAUGGACCCUGAGUUCCGAACCACAACCCAAGGGUGCCUGAGCACAGGUGGGUCCUCAGGACCUCCCUUCUCUGCAGAGGCGGCCUGCCGACCACACUUCUGGGCCAGGUGGUCACGCUCGGGUUAUAGUUAAAUACCAUUUGGA